Equus caballus (horse) is the source of this 4773-nucleotide long non-coding RNA. RefSeq lists it as uncharacterized. Lineage: Eukaryota; Metazoa; Chordata; Mammalia; Perissodactyla; Equidae. The record is from RefSeq and is a predicted model, not a curated record.
CUUCACAUGGUAUUCUUCCUGUGUGCGUGCCUGUGUCCAAAUUUCCCCUUAACAUAAGGACACCAAUCAUAUUGGAGUAGGGUGGGUCCCAUCUUAACCUAACUAAUUACAUCUGCAAUGACCCUUUUUUUCCAAAUAAGAGCAGAUUGUGAGUUACCGGGGGUUAGGACUUUAACAUAAGAAUUUGGCAGGGGCAUCAUACAACCCAUAACAAGACCAUAAUACAAUAUUUCCCGAGUAAAUUCAAUACCCUGAAUGUACACAUAACAACAAGAGAAGAGAUCUGUAAAUGGAUCCAAAUUUGUAGAAAAUUGGCUAAAGCAGAAUAUUGUAAUGAUUUCAAUACCAAUUACAUUAUACCUAACAUCUCUUACUAGCCACAAUUUUAAUUUCACUUAGCUUUUCUGAGUUUCAUGAGAUGAACCAGCGUAUUUAAUAUAGAAAAAGAAUGAAAACUAAAUGAUUAAGAAUUAUAUUUCAUAGGAGAAGAGAAAGAGCUAUUAAAAUUUAAAACACGUUAAAGCAAAAGUAUCAAUAUAUCUACAUAAUAACAUAAACGUAUUUCUGCAUCCAUUGCCAAAUAUCUAUGACAAGUGAAUGCUGCAUUUCAUAAAACUUAGUUUAAAAACACAUCACCUCAACUACAGCACCGUCAUUCAGACACCUCUCAACACAUUUUAUCUCAGCAUUAUAGCGUCCCAGGUGGUCACAAGACGGUUUGAAUGUGUGAGGGAAAGUUAACUUGGUUUUCACCGUGAGAAAAAGAACUGUUAGUUGUCUUUAAUUUGAGAGGAUGUUCUCUAAAAUAAAAACAUACAUCCCAUAGAGGUGUUAAAAACUGCCUGUUUUCUAUAAAUCUUCUAAAAGUUUCUGUUACUGUAGAUAUGUAAAGCGAGAGUUUUGAAUUUUGUUCCACUGAUUAUUAGGCCCAAUAGGAAUACAGCUGUCACCUUUCCAUAAAAUGAUACAAGGUGCAAUAAAUCUUCCCUGGUAAUAACAUCCAGGGACAAACUUUUGUUGAACACGUCUUAGAGUCUGACCUCUGUGAAGUCAAGAAAACAUCUAAUGCUCUGUGGGAACGGUUCCUGCCAACCUAAGUUCAACACUUCUCUGAGACCAGUAUAAGAAGAAGGCUCUGAAAUGACAUGUGGAGUAAAUUCUAGACUUUAAAGACAUGCAAUUAAGACACAUUUAAAUGUGGCAACUAAAAAUAAUUUACUAAAAGCAUAUGAUCAGGUGUUUUCAUUUAUUUCAAGAUUACACAUAUAUGAUAAUAGAAUACACGUUAUUUUAACACAAGCUAAACCAAAGGCCUCCUUACAAAAACGUAGUUAAAAGUUUUUGGACAACUUGAUGAAUCUGUUACACAGGGAUGAAUUGCUUUUUCAGAAAAGAUUCACUUUGCACAGUUUUCUCUGGGCAUGUAUUCAUGCUUUUCAUUUUCUCAUUAAAUUCAUCUAGCAGAAUUAAGAACACGAAUGCAAAAUCUGGGGCAAACAAACAAAUUUGCUUGUACUAGAGUAGAAACUAGAGAGAAAGCAACCAUGGGAGAUGGCCAGAGCAGGGGAAUGAAGAGAGCAGAAAGAAGACUGAAAUUUUGCAAACCAAAGCUCAUCCAAAUACACUAGCCUAAAAUUGAUAAAUUCUCUCCCGUUACCUUCCCAAUCUGAUGUUCUACUCUGGAGAGUGGUUUAUAGGAAAUGCGAAUGAGAUAAUAAAAACCCUUCAUUUAUUUCUUUAACUUUUAGAAGGAACCAAUGUGCCAUCUUUUAAUGACCUACGCAGUUGCUUCUAGGCCUCAGCACACAGAAUCUCUUCAGCAAACGUGUCCUCCAGAUACCAUUCCCCUCUCAACAGCCACCCUUAUUUACUGCUUCAUAACCUCCAUCUUCCAACAGUUGGUGGGAGCAGAAAAAACAUGAAAGAGAAAAGAAGACAGUUGGCUUCCGUGGAAAAAACACUAGAUCUGGGAGUCCAAUCCAGUGGUAUGCUAGAGUAGACUUAUACACGUCAUUACAUUGUCAUGUGUCAUGCCAUUACAUUGGCAACAGCAUGAAAAAACUGAGGGAGUAAUUUUCCAGUAUUUGAAAACUGUUACCCAUUUCAGCAAAGAAUCUGCCAUGGGUUGGAGGAGGUCAUUGAGAGGUUGUGACCCAGCUGACCCUCAAGCUGGAGCAGGACAACUGGAGGCAUGUCACCCCCUCCCCUGUCCUUGACAUGUAAUUUCCGCCCACCGUUCCCACAGUGGGAGCCGCUUCAUAAGAUAUGUUUUGUCUGAGAUCCAAUUAUUAAGUGUUUACCGCCACCCCACUUUUCUACCAUCCAGAAACUAUUGACUCAAAAAAUUGUUUACAAGUAUUGCCUUCCUCAUCUGCAAACUAGUGAAAUGGGUGCCUUCCUCAGAGGAUAAUUUUAGGGGUAAAUUAAAAUAAUCUUUAUGCAAAAACCCUGUAGGGAUUUCAAAAGUUAAUGUUCAUAAAUUCAGCAAAUAUGUUUCAGCUCCUAAUAUGAGCUCUCCUAAGGACGUGCAGGGUUUGGAAAGAUGAACAAUGUUUGAUCCUGAUCCUCAGGUAGCUUUCAGUCCAGUGAUAAAGGUAAGUGUAAAUAACUUAAAAUGAUCUAAGAACACGAAAUGUGUUAUAACAGGAAAAAGGAAAGUGCUAUGAAAUUAAAGGAAAAGAAGCACGUGAUUUUACUUGGAGCAUCAGGGAAGACUCCGUAAAGAUGGAAUUUGGGGUUAAGCUUUGGAAAGUAAGUUACAUUCGUAUCAAUUGAGAAGGUGUAUGUGAAAAGUGGACAGAUGAAACACCAAACACAUUAUCAUCACAAAUAUUAUAAUACCAACUAGCUGCUGCAUCAAAAACCCCUACACAUUAUUUCCAUGUAAAACAGAAAGAAUUAUGCCAUUAUAGUUUAUACAAUCCGGUGUGCCUAUCUACAAUCUUGCAUAUUCGAGGGUUGACUAAAUAUUUAGUUUUUCCAAUUUAUAAGCCAUUUCUAAUAAGCAAAAUUGUAGAUUAUCCUUUGGCUUUCUUUCCUUAGUGAAAGAAAACAUUCAUGCUCAAGUGAAUUUUUAAAUUAUUUUUCAAGACAACUCUAUAAAAUAUGUCCUAUUUAGAAGGACAGAAGGGACUGUCCCAUAGAUCUAAAGAAAAGUAGCCACUGAUUUAAAAUCUAUAAAUACAUAAAUUAUGGACACGUUAAGAAUGAAGAGCACAUCUAAAGUGAGGUUUUUAUGGGAGAAGGGAACACUGUGGCAAGUGAAAAGUGAAACCUUUUAAAACAUUCAUGGGAACAAGGACUAACUACCAAAGAAAGAGCAUUAUUUCAUCCCUCAGUUAAGGAGUCUUGCAAGGGUUGACACCCAGUAAAGCUCACUGAAAAGCCUUUUCCUCUUGCUAGUUAAAAUACGCUAGUUAAUGUUCGUGACUUUAGAAAACAAACAACACAGAAAAAAGCUUGGCAAAGCAUCUACAGAAUCUGUCUUAAGUGUAAUAAAAGGGAGUUUAUUAAUCUCUCACACACAAAAGUCUGACACAAAAGGUCUACGGCCUUGACCUCAAGUGACUAUGGAUUAGACCACAGGGCCAGUCUAGGUCCCAAUAGGACAUAUGGUAAGAGAAGCAUUCGCUCCACACCGAAAGCCCUUUUACUGUCCACUCUGAUCUCUUCCCAUUCCACUCUGAACUUCCCAUUACAGGCACUCCCUCGGCAAGCUACCGCGCCAACGGAGCCUUUCAGAACGUUCUCUCCCCGAUGAAAGCCGUCAGUCUGUCGCUAUCUAAACGUGGAGCAUUUCAACAAAAUUUAAAGAGAAACUGGAAGGGUAGGGGUUGGAAUACUGUUUAAAAACACAGCCAGACCUCCUUGCUGGAGCUCCAAGACUCCUCAACAACCACCUUGCAACCUGCUGAAGCCUAUAAGAUGGGUACCAUGAGCAUCCCCACUGAAAAGAUGUGGAAAUGGGAACAGCAAGUCCCAUGGCUACUAAACGGAUGAAGAGGAAUGCAAAGCUGGGUAAUCUGCCUCAAGAGCUCCUUGAUUAUACAUUCACCAUGCUGCCUCUGAAAUUUAGGACACAGUUACACCUGCAAAAGAAGUAACAUACGGAACCCUGUGAAUUAGGCUGACUUCAUCCUGGAAUCACAGCGGGGCUUAAGGUCCCAGACCGCCAGCAGUAUGGAGAAUGGAGCCAGUAGAGGUGAUUUCUCCAUUUUUGCCUCUUCGUGAGCCUCACCAGCCCAGGCAUGAUGCUCUUUUCCACCUCCUAGGACUUCCCACUCUGACACAGGUCACCCAGUGGCAGAACCUACUCCUCCACACAUCCAUCAGGGGCUCUGUCAACAGCCCCUGAAGCAGGUGCAGACCUGGAAGACUCCGUUUCGUGGUCUGGCACUUCGGCUCCACACUCAUUUUCUACCUUGCUGCUGCAGCUACUGUUCUCCCUUGUGCUCUCUGAAACCACUGCUGACAGAUCCUGAGUGGCCCCUGGCAAAUAGGUAUUCUCAUUAGUGUAAUGUGUCAGUUAAGAGAACCCAGUUACACUAAUUUUCCUCUUUGGGGAUAUUGUGGGACAUCAGUUAUUAUUUCCUGAUUGUUCUAAUUCAGUAGUUUAGUCUAUUGCAAGGGAUUACAUCAAAGAAUGUUUGUCUUCCCAAAAGCAUUAUUGCCAUUUUUGAUCUACAAAAAGUAUUCUAUAUUAAUUUGGUUUUGAUCUAAAAAAGGUAUUCUAUAUUAAACUGGGAGAGUAAAGAAUAAAUGCUCAUAGAUAAA